GGUAUACCAUGUAACCAUGGCAACCCCACUCCUCACAUGUCAACAAACAGAACAGGCCCCACAUGCAUCGGCCCACUGGGGAUCUUCAACGGGGCACACAGAUUCCAGCAAAUUUUACUGAUGUCCUGUGGAAGUUUCAGCUGGCACCAAAUGACAUCACAGCGACCACCAGACAAGCAGAGGACUGAAACAUAGGAACAAGGCCUAAAAUGAAGCGGAGUCUACUCUUGCUUUCUCAUUAGCUAUUCUGGCCAUGUAACAAUGCAGUUGCAUUACUGUACAGAAGAUACAUAGGUACAAGCUCAGGAUUUGUCUGCAUAAGUCACCGUUUCAAGCAUAGCUGCCUGAAUCUUAAGUUCCUCAAUGAUUUGUCAUUUUCCAUCUACGCUACACACAAUAAUCAGGCCUUUGUCGCACAUGUAACCGCCCUGUCGUGUUGUGGAAUACGCUUCACAAUGCAGAAUGGAAGCAGAAUAUAGAGAUCUGACAAAUGCUAUACAAAAAAGCCAUGUAGAAGAGGGGGGAUGGGGGAAGGAGGGAGUCACAAGACAUGUAUAAAUGUCUGUUAUAUGAAUAAAUAUUAAUGCUGCCCACAGAAUAGUUGCUGGGGAUCUCCCACA
Pseudophryne corroboree (corroboree frog) is the source of this 620-nucleotide long non-coding RNA. RefSeq lists it as uncharacterized. NCBI's taxonomy places the organism in Eukaryota, Metazoa, Chordata, Amphibia, Anura, Myobatrachidae. The transcript is spliced from 3 exons. The record is from RefSeq and is a predicted model, not a curated record.